Armigeres subalbatus is the source of this 563-nucleotide long non-coding RNA. RefSeq lists it as uncharacterized. The record is from RefSeq and is a predicted model, not a curated record. The transcript is spliced from 3 exons. Lineage: Eukaryota; Metazoa; Arthropoda; Insecta; Diptera; Culicidae.
UUCAAAUGUCAAAUUGGAACGAAAAUUCUAAAAACAAACAAACAAAAUAAAAUUUAUCGAUGAUCAGUUCACAACAAGACAACAGUCAACUGAGCCAGAUCAGCUUUCCACAGAUUUAUAUCAAAAUUUGAUAAAAUAAUGACGCCAAAGAGAAGGGAACGCCACCAUAAAAACAAUGAGCGACAUGGCGGUUUUUUCAUUUCAACUUCCGAAGCGGAGCUAAUUCAUGCAACCCCUAAUCCACACUAUACGUUUCAAGCGGAAGUCCCGAGGGAAGGCCUGUAUCAAUUUAAUAAGACCAGUUACGUGGAGAACCAUCGUUCUUGAUUUCAUCUGAAAUAAUAAGCAUGCCAAUUAAAUGAGCCUACGAAGGAAUGAAUACGAUCCAUUCUGCUUGUUCGGAUGAUCUGAAUGAACUUGCGGCAGCAUGAAUCGUCUCGAGUUUAUGUGGCCCAUAAUUGUUUGUUAUUACGGUUAUUACUCAAACAUUCAAAACUCGAGUAUAAAGAAUACUAUCAUUUCAGUUUAAUUAGUCUGCUAUAAUGAAAUAUAAAGAAAAACUA